Long non-coding RNA from Oreochromis niloticus (Nile tilapia), 437 nucleotides. RefSeq lists it as uncharacterized. Lineage: Eukaryota; Metazoa; Chordata; Actinopteri; Cichliformes; Cichlidae. The transcript has 3 exons. The record is from RefSeq and is a predicted model, not a curated record.
UACACAAUUGGUGUUUCAGGAGCUGAUGACAAGUGUACAACUCAACAGAGCCACACUGUCUCUGUGAACACAGAACCAUGCGCUCCCUCUAAAGUGUCCAGCCAGCUGAUCUGUAGUGCUAGAGCUGCUCAUGUGUCCUGGGACCCCAGUCCAAAUGCACUGAGCUAUGCAGUGGAAGCCAUAAGUGAUGGGCAGACCCUCACCUGCAACAGCUCCAGCCCCAACUGCACACUGAGUAACCUGCUCUGUGGCCAAGCAUAUGAAAUUCUUGUGACUGCCACGGAUGGCACCUGUGUCAGCAACUACAGUGCCCCCUUCAGGCAAGACCAAGUGCCAUGUGCUCCAGGGAACAUCAGUACAGACUUGUCCUGCAGCACCAAUGACUUAACGGUCAGCUGGAUCUCUUCUUCUGCAUCCCUCAAUUACAGUGUCACUGC